UUCAGUGAUGAAAACUGCUGCAUAGGAAGUGCCGUCUGAUGCGAUAACUGACGAUAUAAAGCUGUUCUGAGA
Molecule: small nucleolar RNA, 72 nt
Organism: Oreochromis niloticus (Nile tilapia)
Lineage: Eukaryota; Metazoa; Chordata; Actinopteri; Cichliformes; Cichlidae
Product: small nucleolar RNA SNORD49
Source: Ensembl